GUGGGGAAUAUUGGACAAUGGGCGCAAGCCUGAUCCAGCCAUGCCGCGUGAGUGAUGAAGGCCUUAGGGUUGUAAAGCUCUUUCAGUGGGGACGAUAAUGACGGUACCCACAGAAGAAGCCCCGGCUAACUUCGUGCCAGCAGCCGCGGUAAUACGAAGGGGGCUAGCGUUGUUCGGAUUUACUGGGCGUAAAGCGCACGUAGGCGGAUCGUUAAGUCGGGGGUGAAAUCCUGGAGCUCAACUCCAGAACUGCCUUCGAUACUGGCGAUCUUGAGUCCGGAAGAGGUGAGUGGAACUCCUAGUGUAGAGGUGGAAUUCGUAGAUAUUAGGAAGAACACCAGUGGCGAAGGCGGCUCACUGGUCCGGUACUGACGCUGAGGCGCGAAAGUGUGGGGAGCAAACAGGAUUAGAUACCCGUGUAGUCC
Molecule: ribosomal RNA, 425 nt
Filed under: uncultured bacterium
Lineage: Bacteria
Description: partial 16S ribosomal RNA
Rfam family: Bacterial small subunit ribosomal RNA
Source: RNAcentral